This is a long non-coding RNA of Gossypium raimondii (Peruvian cotton), 1329 nucleotides long. RefSeq lists it as uncharacterized. The transcript has 2 exons. NCBI's taxonomy places the organism in Eukaryota, Viridiplantae, Streptophyta, Magnoliopsida, Malvales, Malvaceae. The record is from RefSeq and is a predicted model, not a curated record.
AACUCAAACGUUGCUGAUUAUUUUAUUGUUAGCUACUACUUGAAGGUUACUCCAAUGCCUACCGAUAUCAGGACUGAUUAAAAUACAGCAGUUCCCUUGAAUUUCUUCUCAAGUUUCAUUGUGGAGCUAAACUUAAAGACAAGAUAUGUGAGGUUAUAGACAAGCUUUGGUAAUAGGAAGAGGGGGAUCUGAGAGAGAGCCAUCCAAAAUCCUAUUGACUACCCAAUAGUUUGCAGCUUCAGUAUAAUGAAUGCCAUCCCAACUAAUAUGUUUUGAAGGAUCACUGCAUGAAGCACCAAAGAUUUCAGUACCGUUCACCACUGCCGUCUUCCCACAUUCCACAUGAUGGUCACCGCAACAGUUUACAAAAGGAUCAACAAAGCCUGCAAUCGCCAAUUCAAGUAUGUACGUCAGUAUAUUCUAUCCGCGGUGUUACGGAACUUGGGGUACUAAUGGAGGUCAAAUAACAGGGUAAAAAGACAUACCAUAUUUAUUGGCUUCACUAAUUAGAGAAAAUUUAGCCGAGUAGAUAUAGACAUAUAUAAGCCUUGCACCAGGGAGCUUGGCCUUAAGUUGAGAAACUGUGUCUUUAAGCUGCUUCUUGAAUUCUUGAGCCAACUCAUUGUAGGAUUUAAUGCAGCCUGCUUGGUCCACAUUCCCAGGCUUUGGAGGGAAAUUUAUGAUGACAGUAGGCAAGCAGCCAAUGGGACCUGUAUUAUGUAUCCAAAACACUCUUGCUCCUUGUUGAAACAGCUUCUGAAAAUGUAGAAAAUCACGACUUUCAACUCAAUGUCAUCUACACCGAAGCGGAUCAUCACAAUUGUACAAGUAGCAUGAGAAAUACCUCUACUGCUGCAGCAAACUGAUUGAUUAUAUUGGGAAUGAAUGCCUUAAACUGAUCCUCUAUACUUGUUAUAAUGCCAUAAUGCAGAUCAUUUUGCCCACAAUCUAAUAUGUAAAGGGACUUUGAAAACUCCUCUGGCCUAGGGAGCCUAUCUGUAAUAUCCGGAUUCUUGGCUGAAAAACAAGCAAGAACUAUAUUCAUUGCCAUUCAUGACAGAUAUAAACCUUUUGCAUAUCAGUUUAUGGAGCAGUCUACAAAGUAUGCAUAUCUAACCUUGAUCAUAAAGCUCAUUGGUGCGCUCUUUAAGUUGUUGGAACUGCAAGAGCUGUAUAUCAAGAGAUAAGGGGUUAAAACCAGUAUCAAAUAAUUUGUCAUCGGCUGGUUGAAUCGUCGAUCCACUUGCUGCAAAAUUCGCUCCGUGUCUGAAGUUUGAAUCGAUUGCAUCAAGGUAUGCACUCAAGAAUGGCAAUUUCAACUCAUUAGCU